UGGGCUUUACCAGAUGGUUGGGCUUGGUGGGCUUAUUCCUGGCUUGCCCUAUCCAAGCACAGAGUUGGAUCAUGAGGCCCAAAUGAAAGUAUGGGCUUCUUGAUUCCUAAAGUGGGGCGGAUCGCAUGAGGCUGGCUUCACAGAGCAAUGAACAGCUCCCGCUCUGUGCAGUGGAAGGAUAACGGGUCGGUGUCUACCAAGUCCAGUAAAGC
Molecule: long non-coding RNA, 212 nt
Organism: Solanum verrucosum
Lineage: Eukaryota; Viridiplantae; Streptophyta; Magnoliopsida; Solanales; Solanaceae
Exons: 2
Source: RefSeq, a predicted model, not a curated record